GGACGAACGCUGGCGGCGUGCCUAACACAUGCAAGUCGAACGGAGUAGAGAGCUUCGGUUUCUGCUUAGUGGCGAACGGGUGAGUAACGCGUGAGUAACCUGCCUUACAGAGGGGGACAACAGUUGGAAACGACUGCUAAUACCGCAUAAUGUCUAACCGAGGCAUCUCGGAUAGACCAAAGGAGCAAUCCGCUGUAAGAUGGACUCGCGUCCAAUUAGAUAGUUGGUGGGGUAACGGCCCACCAAGUCGACGAUUGGUAGCCGGACUGAGAGGUUGAACGGCCACAUUGGGACUGAGACACGGCCCAGACUCCUACGGGAGGCAGCAGUGGGGGAUAUUGCACAAUGGGGGAAACCCUGAUGCAGCAACGCCGCGUGAAGGAAGAAGGUCUUCGGAUUGUAAACUUCUGUUUUUAGUGAAGAAACAAAUGACGGUAGCUAAAGAGGAAGCCACGGCUAACUACGUG
This 467-nucleotide ribosomal RNA is filed under the name uncultured bacterium. RNAcentral's name for it is "bacterial SSU rRNA". It matches the Rfam family "Bacterial small subunit ribosomal RNA", at positions 27 to 507 of the family's 1533-position model. The record is from RNAcentral.